AGUGAACGCUGGCGGUAGGCCUAACACAUGCAAGUCGAACGGCAGCACAGUAAGAGCUUGCUCUUACGGGUGGCGAGUGGCGGACGGGAGAGGAAUACAUCGUAAUCUACUUUUUCGUGGGGGUUAACGUAGGUAAACUUACGCUAAUACCGCAUACGACCUACGGGUGAAAGCAGUGGAUCUUUGGACCUGGCGCGAUUGAAUGAGCCGAUGUGGGGUUAGCUAGUUGGCGGGGUAAUGGCCCACCAAGGCGACGGUCCGUAGCUGGUCUGAGAGGAUGGUGAGGCACAGUGGAGCUGAGACACGGUACAGACACCUAGGGGAGGCCGAGGUGGGGAAUGUUGGAAAAUGGGCGGAAGACUGAUCCAGGGAUGCAGGGUGGGUGAAGAAGCCCUUCGGGUGGUAAAGCGGUUUUGUUGGGAAAGAACAGCAGCAGGUUAAACCCACGCUGUUCGGACGGUACCGAAAGAAUAAGCACCGGCUAACUUCGU
RNAcentral lists this ribosomal RNA (491 nucleotides) under uncultured bacterium. Its description in RNAcentral is "partial 16S ribosomal RNA". It matches the Rfam family "Bacterial small subunit ribosomal RNA", at positions 30 to 506 of the family's 1533-position model. The record is from RNAcentral.